AUUGAACGCUGGCGGCAGGCUUAACACAUGCAAGUCGAACGAGUGGCGGACGGGUGAGUAAUGUCUGGGAAACUGCCUGAUGGAGGGGGAUAACUACUGGAAACGGUAGCUAAUACCGCAUACCAUCAGAUGUGCCCAGAUGGGAUUAGCUAGUAGGUGGGGUAAUGGCUCACCUAGGCGACGAUCCCUAGCUGGUCUGAGAGGAUGACCAGCCACACUGGAACUGAGAAACGGUCCAGACUACUACGGGAGGCAGAAGUGGGGAAUAGUGCACAAUGGGCGCAAGCCUGAUGCAGCCAUGCCGCGUGUAUGAAGAAGGCCUUCGGGUUGUAAAGGACUUUCAGCGAGGAGGCGUUACUCGCAGAAGAAGCACCGGCUAACUCCGUGCCAGCAGCCGCGGUAAUAC
Molecule: ribosomal RNA, 406 nt
Filed under: uncultured bacterium
Lineage: Bacteria
Description: partial 16S ribosomal RNA
Rfam family: Bacterial small subunit ribosomal RNA
Source: RNAcentral